UCCUUUGUAGUGUAGUGGUUAACAUAUCGCGUUUUCAUUCAUCCCCCACAAGGACAAUUAAUCCGCGAAGCCCGGGGUUCAAUUCCCCGCAAGGGAG
Non-coding RNA from Diplogelasinospora grovesii, 97 nucleotides. NCBI's taxonomy places the organism in Eukaryota, Fungi, Ascomycota, Sordariomycetes, Sordariales, Diplogelasinosporaceae. The record is from the annotation of a GenBank genome assembly.